UACGUAGGGUGCAAGCGUUGUCCGGAAUUAUUGGGCGUAAAGAGCUCGUAGGCGGUUUGUCGCGUCUGCUGUGAAAACCCGGGGCUCAACCCCGGGCCUGCAUUCGAUACGGGCAGACUAGAGUUCGGUAGGGGAGACUGGAAUUCCUGGUGUAGCGGUGAAAUACGCAGAUAUCAGGAGGAACACCGGUGGCGAAGGCGGGUCUCUGGGCCGAUACUGACGCUGAGGAGCGAAAGCGUGGGGAGCGAACAGG
RNAcentral lists this ribosomal RNA (253 nucleotides) under uncultured bacterium. RNAcentral describes it as "partial 16S ribosomal RNA". It matches the Rfam family "Bacterial small subunit ribosomal RNA", at positions 524 to 776 of the family's 1533-position model. The record is from RNAcentral.